GCACACCACUGCCCCCUCCCUCCGCCGGAAACUCGCCGACUGCUCAGGCGCAGCAGACACGCUCUAAAACAGAGGAGCCGAUAGGGCAUCCUGGAGUGGGUAUUUCCAUUCGGACUUGCACGUGGUGACGUCUUUACGCUAACGUCAUCCUGCGCCUGCUACUGCUGCUUCGUGUGGGAGGGGAAAGAAAGCGAGCCACACCACCAGACGGGCUAAUGGCUUGACUCUGUUUAAAAAGAAGAAGAAGAAGCUUCACAAGAGCAUAAGCGCUGAAAUCUGCUUUUUAAUUUCUCUAAGAAAGACUCAAGGCACCCCGUGCCAGAUGCAGCGAAGCAGCCCCAAAACAUAACCGAGCCUCCUCCAUGUUUCACAGUAGUGGAGUCCUCCUGGGUCUUCUUCCAUUGAGCCCACUGUCACUCAAAAAGCGACCGAUGGUGCAAUCAGACACUGAUGGACCUUGACCUUGGAGUUCAGCUUUUAUCUCUUUGGAAGUUGUCCUUGGCUUUUUGUCUACCAUUCUCACUAUCCUUCUGCCCAUUCUGGGGUUGAUUUUCCUCUUGCGGCCACAUCCAGGGAGGUUGGCUACAGUCCCAUGGACCUUGAACUUCUUAAUAAUAUUUGCAACUGUUGUCACAGGAACAUCAAACUGCUUGGAGAUGGUCUUAUAGCCUUUGCCUUUAACAUGCUUGUCUAUAAUUUUCUUUCUGAUCUCCUCGGACAACUCUCUCCUUUGCUUUCUCUGGUCCAUGUUCAUUGUGGGACACACAAUGAUACCAAGCAGCAGAGUGACUACUUUUCUCCAUUUCAGUAGGCUGAAUGACUGAUUGCACGAUUGGAGACAUGUGUGAUACUAAUUAAAGAAAACAGCUAAUUUGAAAAAUUACUCUAAUCCAAUUAUUUAUGAUUUUUUCUAGGGGUACCAACAAAUGUGUCCAGGCCACUUUAGAAUAAGUAAUACUUUAUCUCUUUUCACACUUGCUUUGCCUUACUCGAUGACAUAUCAAAG
Hemicordylus capensis (graceful crag lizard) is the source of this 1006-nucleotide long non-coding RNA. RefSeq lists it as uncharacterized. The record is from RefSeq and is a predicted model, not a curated record. The transcript is spliced from 3 exons. NCBI's taxonomy places the organism in Eukaryota, Metazoa, Chordata, Lepidosauria, Squamata, Cordylidae.